This 994-nucleotide ribosomal RNA is filed under the name Staphylococcus aureus. RNAcentral's name for it is "partial 23S ribosomal RNA". It matches the Rfam family "Bacterial large subunit ribosomal RNA", at positions 1603 to 2598 of the family's 2925-position model. Lineage: Bacteria; Bacillati; Bacillota; Bacilli; Caryophanales; Staphylococcaceae. The record is from RNAcentral.
CACUGCCGAGAAAAGCCUCUAGAUAGAAAAUAGGUGCCCGUACCGCAAACCGACACAGGUAGUCAAGAUGAGAAUUCUAAGGUGAGCGAGCGAACUCUCGUUAAGGAACUCGGCAAAAUGACCCCGUAACUUCGGGAGAAGGGGUGCUCUUUAGGGUUAACGCCCAGAAGAGCCGCAGUGAAUAGGCCCAAGCGACUGUUUAUCAAAAACACAGGUCUCUGCUAAACCGUAAGGUGAUGUAUAGGGGCUGACGCCUGCCCGGUGCUGGAAGGUUAAGAGGAGUGGUUAGCUUCUGCGAAGCUACGAAUCGAAGCCCCAGUAAACGGCGGCCGUAACUAUAACGGUCCUAAGGUAGCGAAAUUCCUUGUCGGGUAAGUUCCGACCCGCACGAAAGGCGUAACGAUUUGGGCACUGUCUCAACGAGAGACUCGGUGAAAUCAUAGUACCUGUGAAGAUGCAGGUUACCCGCGACAGGACGGAAAGACCCCGUGGAGCUUUACUGUAGCCUGAUAUUGAAAUUCGGCACAGCUUGUACAGGAUAGGUAGGAGCCUUUGAAACGUGAGCGCUAGCUUACGUGGAGGCGCUGGUGGGAUACUACCCUAGCUGUGUUGGCUUUCUAACCCGCACCACUUAUCGUGGUGGGAGACAGUGUCAGGCGGGCAGUUUGACUGGGGCGGUCGCCUCCUAAAAGGUAACGGAGGCGCUCAAAGGUUCCCUCAGAAUGGUUGGAAAUCAUUCAUAGAGUGUAAAGGCAUAAGGGAGCUUGACUGCGAGACCUACAAGUCGAGCAGGGUCGAAAGACGGACUUAGUGAUCCGGUGGUUCCGCAUGGAAGGGCCAUCGCUCAACGGAUAAAAGCUACCCCGGGGAUAACAGGCUUAUCUCCCCCAAGAGUUCACAUCGACGGGGAGGUUUGGCACCUCGAUGUCGGCUCAUCGCAUCCUGGGGCUGUAGUCGGUCCCAAGGGUUGGGCUGUUCGCCCAUUAAAGCGGUA